Molecule: ribosomal RNA, 374 nt
Filed under: uncultured organism
Description: partial 16S ribosomal RNA
Rfam family: Bacterial small subunit ribosomal RNA
Source: RNAcentral
GUAGGUGGCAAGCGUUGUCCGGAAUUAUUGGGCGUAAAGCGCGCGCAGGCGGGUCCUUUAAGUCUGAUGUGAAAGCCCACGGGCUCAACCGUGGAGGGUCAUUGGAAACUGGGGGACUUGAGUACAGAAGAGGAAAGCGGAAUUCCACGUGUAGCGGUGAAAUGCGUAGAGAUGUGGAGGAACACCAGUGGCGAAGGCGGCUUUCUGGUCUGUAACUGACGCUGAGGCGCGAAAGCGUGGGGAGCAAACAGGAUUAGAUACCCUGGUAGUCCACGCCGUAAACGAUGAGUGCUAAGUGUUAGGGGGUUUCCGCCCCUUAGUGCUGCAGCUAACGCAUUAAGCACCCCGCCUGGGGAGUACGGCCGCAAAGGCUG